UGAGGAGUGCCUGCAUUUACAGCUCUAA
RNAcentral lists this non-coding RNA (28 nucleotides) under Homo sapiens (human). The record is from RNAcentral. Lineage: Eukaryota; Metazoa; Chordata; Mammalia; Primates; Hominidae.